This 422-nucleotide ribosomal RNA is filed under the name uncultured bacterium. Its description in RNAcentral is "bacterial SSU rRNA". It matches the Rfam family "Bacterial small subunit ribosomal RNA", at positions 355 to 774 of the family's 1533-position model. The record is from RNAcentral.
UGAGGAAUAUUGGUCAAUGGGCGGGAGCCUGAACCAGCCAAGUAGCGUGAAGGAUGAAGGUUCUAUGGAUUGUAAACUUCUUUUACAGGGGAAUAAAGUGCACCACGUGUGGUGUUUUGUAUGUACCCUAUGAAUAAGGACCGGCUAACUCCGUGCCAGCAGCCGCGGUAAUACGGAGGGUCCAAGCGUUAUCCGGAUUUACUGGGUGUAAAGGGAGCGUAGGCGGCAAGACAAGUCUGAUGUGAAAGGCUGGGGCUCAACCCCAGGACUGCAUUGGAAACUGUCUCGCUUGAGUGUCGGAGAGGUAAGUGGAAUUCCUAGUGUAGCGGUGAAAUGCUUAGAUAUCAUACAGAACACCGAUUGCGAAGGCAGCUUACCAAACUAUGUCUGACGUUGAGGCACGAAAGCGUGGGUAGCAAACA